GUGCCAGCAGCCGCGGUAAUACGGAGGUGGCAGGCGUUACUCGGAUUGAUUGGGUGUAAAGGGUGUGUAGGUGGCUAAUUAAGUCGAAUGUGAAAUCCCAUGGCUUAACCAUGGAACUGCAUUCGAAACUGAUUAGCUUGAGCGACAGAGAGGAAAGUGGAAUUCCCGGUGUAACAGUGAAAUGUGUAGAUAUCGGGAGGAACACCAGUGGCGAAGGCGACUUUCUGGCUGUCCGCUGACACUGAAACACGAGAGCAUGGGGAGCAAACAGGAUUAGAUACCCUUGUAGUCC
Molecule: ribosomal RNA, 292 nt
Filed under: uncultured bacterium
Lineage: Bacteria
Description: partial 16S ribosomal RNA
Rfam family: Bacterial small subunit ribosomal RNA
Source: RNAcentral